This 259-nucleotide ribosomal RNA is filed under the name uncultured prokaryote. RNAcentral describes it as "partial 16S ribosomal RNA". It matches the Rfam family "Bacterial small subunit ribosomal RNA", at positions 524 to 782 of the family's 1533-position model. The record is from RNAcentral.
UACGGAGGAUCCGAGCGUUAUCCGGAUUUAUUGGGUUUAAAGGGUGCGUAGGUGGAUUGGUAAGUCAGUGGUGAAAUUUUGCAGCUUAACUGUAACAGUGCCGUUGAUACUGGGGAGCUAGGAUUUGGUUGCUGUGGGUGGAAUGUGUGGUGUAGCGGUGAAAUGCUUAGAGAUCACACAGAAUAUCGAUUGCGAAGGCAGCUCACAAAGCCAAGAUUGACGCUGAGGCACGAAAGUGUGGGGAUCAAACAGGAUUAGA